AGAGUUUGAUCCUGGCUCAGAACGAACGCUGGCGGCAGGCCUAAUACAUGCAAGUCGAGCGCGCCCUUCGGGGUGAGCGGCGGACGGGUGAGUAACGCGUGGGAAUAUGCCCUUCUCUAAGGAAUAGCCUCGGGAAACUGAGAGUAAUACCUUAUACGCCCUUCGGGGGAAAGAUUUAUCGGAGAAGGAUUAGCCCGCGUUAGAUUAGGUAGUUGGUGGGGUAAUGGCCUACCAAGCCUACGAUCUAUAGCUGGUUUGAGAGGAUGAUCAGCCACACUGGGACUGAGACACGGCCCAGACUCCUACGGGAGGCAGCAGUAGGGAAUCUUAGACAAUGGGGGAAACCCUGAUCUAGCCAUGCCGCGUGUGUGAUGAAGGCCUUAGGGUCGUAAAGCACUUUCGCCAGAGAUGAUAAUGACAGUAUCCGGUAAAGAAACCCCGGCUAACUCCGUGCCAGCAGCCGCGGUAAUACGGAGGGGGUUAGCGUUGUUCGGAAUUACUGGGCGUAAAGCGUACGUAGGCGGAUUAGUAAGUUAGAGGUGAAAUCCCAGGGCUCAACCCUGGAACUGCCUUUAAUACUGCUAGUCUUGAGUUCGAGAGAGGUAAGUGGAAUUCCGAGUGUAGAGGUGAAAUUCGUAGAUAUUCGGAGGAACACCAGUGGCGAAGGCGGCUUACUGGCUCGAUACUGACGCUGAGGUACGAAAGUGUGGGGAGCAAACAGGAUUAGAUACCCUGGUAGUCCACACCGUAACGAUGAAUGCCAG
RNAcentral lists this ribosomal RNA (764 nucleotides) under uncultured bacterium. RNAcentral's name for it is "bacterial SSU rRNA". It matches the Rfam family "Bacterial small subunit ribosomal RNA", at positions 8 to 819 of the family's 1533-position model. The record is from RNAcentral.